AUUGAACGCUGGCGGCAGGCCUAACACAUGCAAGUCGAACGGCAGCACAGAAGAGCUUGCUCUUUGGGUGGCGAGUGGCGGACGGGUGAGUAAUGUCUGGGAAACUGCCCGAUGGAGGGGGAUAACUACUGGAAACGGUAGCUAAUACCGCAUAACGUCGCGAGACCAAAGUGGGGGACCUUCGGGCCUCACACCAUCGGAUGUGCCCAGAUGGGAUUAGCUAGUAGGUGGGGUAAUGGCUCACCUAGGCGACGAUCCCUAGCUGGUCUGAGAGGAUGACCAGCCACACUGGAACUGAGACACGGUCCAGACUCCUACGGGAGGCAGCAGUGGGGAAUAUUGCACAAUGGGCGCAAGCCUGAUGCAGCCAUGCCGCGUGUAUGAAGAAGGCCUUCGGGUUGUAAAGUACUUUCAGCGGGGAGGAAGGCGGUGAGGUUAAUAACCUUGCCGAUUGACGUUACCCGCAGAAGAAGCACCGGCUAACUCCGUGCCAGCAGCCCGCGGUAA
This 507-nucleotide ribosomal RNA is filed under the name uncultured bacterium. Its description in RNAcentral is "partial 16S ribosomal RNA". It matches the Rfam family "Bacterial small subunit ribosomal RNA", at positions 30 to 523 of the family's 1533-position model. The record is from RNAcentral.